This 1687-nucleotide ribosomal RNA is filed under the name Durio zibethinus. Its description in RNAcentral is "SSU rRNA". It matches the Rfam family "Eukaryotic small subunit ribosomal RNA". Lineage: Eukaryota; Viridiplantae; Streptophyta; Magnoliopsida; Malvales; Malvaceae. The record is from RNAcentral.
CUUGGUUGAUCCUAUUAGUAGUCAUAUGCUUGUCUCAAAGAUUAAGCCUUCCAUAUGUAAGUAUGAAAUAAUUCAGACUGUGAAACUAUGAAUGGCUCAUUAAAUCAGUUAUAGUUUGUUUGAUGGUAUCUACUACUUGGAUAACCAUAGUAAUUCUAGAGCUAAUACGUGCAACAAACCUUGACUUGUAAAAGGGAUGCAUUUAUUAGAUAAAAGGUCGAUGUAAGCUUUGUUCAUUGCUAUGAUGAUUCAUGAUAACUCAAUGGAUGGCAUGGCUUUUGUGAUGGUGACACAUCAUUCAAAUUCUACCCUAUCAACUUUCGAUGGAAGGAUAGUGGCCUACUAUGGUGGUGAUGGGUGAUAGAGAAUUAGGGUUUGAUUUCAGAGAGGGAGCCUUAGAAAUGGCUACCACAUCCAGGGAAGGUAGCAGGUGUGCAAAUUACCUAAUCUUGGGGAGGUAGUGACAAUAAAUAACAAUGCCAGGCUUUAUGAGCCCUGUAAUUAGAAUGAGUAAGAUCUAAAUCCCUUAAUGAGGAUCCAUUGGAAGGCAAGUCUGGUGCUAGUAGCCAUGGGAAUUCCAUCUCCACUAGCAUAAUUUAAGUCAUUGCAGUUAAAAUGCUCAUAGUUGAAACUAUGGUUGGGUCGUUUGGUCUGCUUCAUGGUGAGCACCAGUAUACUCAUCCCUACUAUUAGUGAUGCACUCCUAGCCUAUGCUUGUAUACAUUAGCAUGGGAUAACAUUAUAGAAUUUUUGUCCUAUUCUAUUGGCCUUCAGGAUUAGAGUAAUGAUUAAUAAAGACAGUUGCAGGUAUUUGUAUUUCAUAGUCAAAGGUGAAAUUCUUGGAUUUAUGAAAGAUAACAACUACAAAAGCAUUUGUUGAAGAUGUUUUAUUAAUCAAGAAUGAAAGUUAGGGCUUGAAGCUAAUCUUAUACCAUCCUAGUCUUAACCAUAAAUGAUGCCGACCAUGGAUUAGCAGAUGUUACUUUUAGGACUUUGCCGAUACCUUAUGAAAAAUCAACGUCUUUGGGCUUCAAAGGGAGUAUGGUCACAAGGCUAAAACUUAAAGGAAUUAAUGAAAAGGCACCACCUGCAGUGGCUCUUGUAGCUUAAUUUGACUCAACACAGGGAAACUUAUUGAUCCAGACUUAGUAAGGAUUGAUAAACUGAGAGCUCUUUCUUGAUUCUAUGGGUGGUGGUGCAUGGUAGUUCUUAGUUGGUGCAAAGAUUAGUCUGGUUAAUUUCAUUAACGAACAAGACCUCAGCCUACUAACUAGCUACGCAAAGGUGAUCCUUCAUGGCUAGCUUAUUGAAAGGACUAUGGUCACUUAGGCCAAGGAAGUUUUAGGCAAUAACAAGUUUGUGAUGCGCUUAGAUGUUCUAGGCUACAUGCACGCUACACUAAUGUAUUCAACGAGUCUAUAGCCUUAGCCGACAAGCCUGAGUAAUCUUUGAAAUUUUAUCAUGAUGGAGAUAGAUCAUUCCAAUUAUUGGUCUCCAAUAAGGAAUUCUUAGUAAACGUAAGUCAUUAGCUCACAUUGACUACGUCCUUAUCCUUUGUACACACCACCCAUCACUCCUGCAAAUUGAAUGUCCUGAUAAAAUGUUUGGAUCAUGAGAAGUCCACUAAACCUUAUCAUUUAAAGGAAAAAAAGUCAUAACAAGGUUUACGUAGGUGAACCUGUGGAAG